CCUACGGGAGGCAGCAGUGGGGAAUAUUGGACAAUGGGCGAAAGCCUGAUCCAGCAAUUCCGCGUGUGUGAAGAAGGCCUUCGGGUUGUAAAGCACUUUAGUGGGGGAAGAAACAGCUUGGCCACACCAAGCCUUGACGGUACCCCAAGAAUAAGCACCGGCUAACUCUGUGCCAGCAGCCGCGGUAAUACAGAGGGUGCAAGCGUUAAUCGGAUUUACUGGGCGUAAAGGGUGCGUAGGUGGCUAUUUAAGUCGGAUGUGAAAGCCCGGGGCUCAACCUCGGAAUUGCAUUCGAUACUGAGUGGCUAGAGUUCGGUAGAGGGCGGCGGAAUUUCCGGUGUAGCGGUGAAAUGCGUAGAUAUCGGAAGGAACAUCAAUGGCGAAGGCAGCCGCCUGGGCCUGGACUGACACUGAGGCACGAAAGCGUGGGUAGCAAACAGGAUUAGAUACCCUGGUAGUCCACGCCGUAAACGAUGAGAACUUGACGUUGGUUCGUUUUACGAAUCGGUGUCGCNGCUACGCGAUAAGUUACUCCGCCGUCGGGGAGGUACGGGCCGGCCGAAGGUUAGGUAAACGUAACGUAAAGUAAGUUAGUUAGUCGUUGNGAGNGCGACGACGACGACGAGGAGGAGG
This 633-nucleotide ribosomal RNA is filed under the name uncultured bacterium. Its description in RNAcentral is "bacterial SSU rRNA". The stretch from base 1 to 538 matches the Rfam family "Bacterial small subunit ribosomal RNA", at positions 338 to 873 of the family's 1533-position model. The record is from RNAcentral.